This 339-nucleotide unclassified non-coding RNA is filed under the name soil metagenome. RNAcentral's name for it is "partial contains 5.8S ribosomal RNA, internal transcribed spacer 2, and large subunit ribosomal RNA". The stretch from base 1 to 120 matches the Rfam family "5.8S ribosomal RNA", at positions 35 to 154 of the family's 154-position model. The record is from RNAcentral.
GAUGAAGAACGCAGCGAAAUGCGAUAACUAAUGUGAAUUGCAGAAUUCAGUGAAUCAUCGAGUCUUUGAACGCACAUUGCGCCCCCUGGUAUUCCGGGGUGCAUGCCUGUCCGAGCGUCAUUGCUGCCCUCAAGCACGGCUUGUGUGUUGGGCUCCGUCCCCCCGGGGACGGGCCCGAAAGGCAGCGGCGGCACCGAGUCCGGUCCUCGAGCGUAUGGGGCUUUGUCACCCGCUCUGUAGGCCCGGCCGGCGCCAGCCGACAACCCAUCAUCCUUUUCAGGUUGACCUCGGAUCAGGUAGGGAUACCCGCUGAACUUAAGCAUAUCAAUAAGCGGAGGA